Molecule: long non-coding RNA, 748 nt
Organism: Toxorhynchites rutilus septentrionalis
Lineage: Eukaryota; Metazoa; Arthropoda; Insecta; Diptera; Culicidae
Exons: 2
Source: RefSeq, a predicted model, not a curated record
ACGACGAACGGUAGGCUCAAGUGGACAUGUAGCAACAUGAAGUGCAACGAACAGUUCACAGACAAUUUGGUAGUCCAUUUGGUACCUUUUCAAAUGACAUCAAUUGCUCUAAAGUAGGGCAAUAACACAUCUCUUGAAUCCUUUGUCACAAGUUUGAAUAGGAGAUGAAUCAAAGGGAAGGCACAUUGUUUUGAGAGCAUCAGAAAAACAGUAAAGUGUCGUACCUCUCAACUGGGUGGCUAGAGCCAGUGUAUGUAAUUUUCGAAUGAAUUUAAACCGUUCAAACGUUCAUUUCCGUCUCUUCUCGGAAAGCUACAAUCGAAAACACCACGGGCAUCGUCUACAUGCUGCUGGACCCAUCCGCCACCUGCCAGCCGUUGUUUGUGUCUAACGAAAAUCAUCUUUUUCCAUCCGCCCAACAGCUGUCAUUUCGGCGUCGGUUUUCAUCCUGACAAAUAGAAAACAAGGAUCACCUGCCUCUAGGCCGAGAGCAACGGGUAGGACCUGACCCCGCCGCCCGGUCCGACCGUCAGUUAUGGAAGACAUCGAUAGAAACCGAAAGAAAAGCAAUAUAUUUCUUUCGCUAUCCGCUCUACCCGCACAAUACACACCGAAUACGGCGAAGGUGUUCAUUGGAGUUGCAGCUGCUCCGCUAGACCGUAAGGCGGGGUCGAAUAUGAGGAUGGAUAUGUACCUAAUAUCCAGAUCUCCAUGAAUGUUAAACAAAAGUAGGAACAGUUGGUCUUUC